GAUGAACGCUGGCGGCGUGCCUAAUACAUGCAAGUCGAGCGAAUGGAUUAAGAGCUUGCUCUUAUGAAGUUAGCGGCGGACGGGUGAGUAACACGUGGGUAACCUGCCCAUAAGACUGGGAUAACUCCGGGAAACCGGGGCUAAUACCGGAUAACAUUUUGAACCGCAUGGUUCGAAAUUGAAAGGCGGCUUCGGCUGUCACUUAUGGAUGGACCCGCGUCACAUUAGCUAGUUGGUGAGGUAACGGCUCACCAAGGCAACGAUGCGUAGCCGACCUGGGCGGGUGAUCGGCCACACUGGGACUGAGCAACGGCCCAGACUCCUACGGGAGGCAGCAGUAGGGAAUCUUCCGCAAUGGACGAAAGUCUGACGGAGCAACGCCGCGUGAGUGAUGAAGGCUUUCGGGUCGUAAAACUCUGUUGUUAGGGAAGAACAAGUGCUAGUUGAAUAAGCUGGCACCUUGACGGUACCUAACCAGAAAGCCACGGCUAACUACGUGCCAGCCGCCGCAGUAA
Molecule: ribosomal RNA, 515 nt
Filed under: uncultured bacterium
Lineage: Bacteria
Description: partial 16S ribosomal RNA
Rfam family: Bacterial small subunit ribosomal RNA
Source: RNAcentral